GGUCCCACCCCGCAGCACAGGGGAGUUCCUGGUGUGCAGGAGGGAAUGUGCUACUACGGCAUGUUUUUUUCCUUUCUUCGUGCACGGUCAGAGGCCUUCGAGGGAGUCCGCAAUGUGCGUCCCAGUUUUCUUGUCCCCUUUUUGGUUUUUCUGCCCUUUAACCAGCCCUGUUGUCACAGGACCAUAGCAUAAUUCAGUUUGGCAGGGCCCUGUGGUACUCAGCACUGGCCAACAGGAACAACGCCGGAUAUGUGCUGCUUGGAGUGAGAGAAAAUCUGUUUGGCUGAGGCUUCUGAAGAUCCUUGUUGUAGGUGCUUGGAAGUCCUUUGAGCACCAUGAGGAUGGCAGCCAACUGCAGAGAGAAACAGGCUCACCCGUCCGAACACACGACCAGCUUUGCUGCGGAUCAGUUCCAGGCUAUCGGGAUUCUUCUUCUGAGGCAUCAGGCUGCUGCCAGUGCUGAAAGAAAGGCGUGCGGUGUGUAACGGUGAACAAGAUCCCAGCCCCUAUAGACACAGGCUAAGACAGGCGCUCAGAAUCACGGGUCAGAGCAACAGCGUGGCUGGGAAAGGACAUGAGAGAUGAAGCACCUGAAGUCAGAACAAGUCACUUCCCUUCCCAAGCAAUGUGCUGCCAUGCCUGGAGCCUGGGAUCCCUUCUCAAACAGAAGAGGCUUGAAAUGGAGCCCAGGCACUCAGUCCCAUUGAAGUAGAAGAGUUGCAGCCAUACAAGCAUCUCCAUGUUACCCCAUUAGCUGAGGUGUAACUGUGGCCAAAGGUUGGAGCAUACAACCUCUACUGCCCACUCAGUGCUUGGGUCCUGGGUUUGUCAGAGCCACACAAGAACAGUUUGCAAGAUGAGCCCUCGUUUGUCAUCCCCCCUGCUGUCCUCUCAGAAGAUAAUGUGCUUUUAGGCUCCAGUUCAGCAGGCCCCAAGGUGGAGAAGGCUUCCUGCAGCCAAGUGUACAAGGUGCUUACCUGAGCAAGAACUGGCUCCAUCUGAUGGGCUGAGCUUUCUGCAGCUUCCUCCACAGAAGACCCUACUGCUGUCCUGGUUGGUGUCAAAGAGAAAGCCUAGGAGGCUCCUGACCCUGCAAGACCAAGGUCCUGGAUCUGGAAAAGGACUUACAUGGCAGCGCGUUCCACCAGGGUCUUAAUGAGCUGCAGGAG
Molecule: long non-coding RNA, 1169 nt
Organism: Columba livia (rock pigeon)
Lineage: Eukaryota; Metazoa; Chordata; Aves; Columbiformes; Columbidae
Exons: 6
Source: RefSeq, a predicted model, not a curated record